This 405-nucleotide ribosomal RNA is filed under the name Pisolithus tinctorius. Its description in RNAcentral is "eukaryotic LSU rRNA". The stretch from base 1 to 106 matches the Rfam family "5.8S ribosomal RNA", at positions 50 to 154 of the family's 154-position model. Lineage: Eukaryota; Fungi; Basidiomycota; Agaricomycetes; Boletales; Pisolithaceae. The record is from RNAcentral.
GAAUCGCGAUAAGUAAUGUGAAUUGCAGAUUUUCCGUGAAUCAUCGAAUCUUUGAACGCACCUUGCGCUCCUUGGUAUUCCGAGGAGCAUGCCUGUUUGAGUGUCAUCGAAAUCUCAAACCAAGCCUUCUUUUUUUGACUUCGGUCGAGGGCUCGGGUUUGGAUCGUUGGGAGUCUGCGGGCGACGCACGUCGUCGGCUCUCCUGAAAUGCAUUAGCGGUGGGCAUGCAAGUCUUGCUUGGCACCAGCCUCUCCCGGCGUCAUAAUGAUCGUCGCGGGCUUGCCAGCUGCAAGGGACGUGUCCCAUGCUUCUCCAACUUUGCGAGCCCCCCCACCCCUCCUCUCCUGGGCGCUCUGCAUUCGAAGGCUUGACCUCAAAUCAGGUAGGACUACCCGCUGAACUUAA